Molecule: long non-coding RNA, 1011 nt
Filed under: Homo sapiens (human)
Lineage: Eukaryota; Metazoa; Chordata; Mammalia; Primates; Hominidae
Description: HSALNT0113399
Source: RNAcentral
GGAAGUUGGUCGGAUGAUUACUUGCAGAGUCUCAAAUCUCAACUGACAAAUUAACCUAAGAACUAUUCCACGAAAUAAAGUAGAAGCAGCAUGCCUUGUAGAGAAGCCGUGGUAUAAUGUAUUAUACUUUAAUAUUAAUAUUGUAUUUUACACAGAAUUUCUGCGAACUGCAUGAAUACUGAUGAUUCCAAGCCUAAACAAGAGGGGGAGUACAAUCACAACACUCUGGAGAUUAGGUGCUUAAAGCUUUCGAAAACGGCAGCCCGCUUUGUUACUGUGGCCGGUUCCUGGCUGGGAACAGGCUCCUUUUCGGCACUACCUACUUGAUACGUGUGAUGUUGUCACAAACAUCUAGAAAAAACAUUAGUUCUCAGGAAAAGAAUAACAGGAGACACGUAUAUUGCCAUAUGAAAACAAGUAUACAUACGUGUGUAUGCAUGUGUAUAUUUGUACAAAUUAUGACCCCCUCGAAAACCUAUGAUCAGUGUCUCAAAUAUUAACAUUACAGAUAGUAUUCCAUCAUUCCUGACUGCAACUGACAGGAGUUUCACUGAGAAGUGAGGAUCGGAGCUUUGGUGACUCAGCUCUUUGUAGUCACCCCAGCAGGGUGUGUCAUAUGAGGGCCACGGAGCAUGCAUCAUCCUGAGGAAGGUGUUUAAAACCAGCUCCCCUCGAUGAGACAAUCUCAGCGCUCCCUCUAGCUAAACCUGGCCUUAUUGCCCUAACUCUAGUACACCAGAUUUAAAUAUGCUUCACAUAAAAUACAUUUGUCAAAAAGUACUAGAAAUUAAGCACUUAGAAGCAACAUCCAACUUAUUAAUGAAACUAUAAUUUUUCCUCAAUAUCUCAGCAAUGAUGAAGUAAACUAACUUUAGGGUAGACGUUAAAGCGUUAUUUGCCAUACAUUUUUGCAAUUCUAGCCCUCUUUAAACCUACUUGCAGAAAGUUAUUAGCCCCAAUGUCCAUAAAAUCCUUCUAAAAGAAGCUAAUUCUUCUUCCCCAGCACCCAAA